This is a non-coding RNA of Podarcis lilfordi (Lilford's wall lizard), 72 nucleotides long. Lineage: Eukaryota; Metazoa; Chordata; Lepidosauria; Squamata; Lacertidae. The record is from the annotation of a GenBank genome assembly.
AGGGGUGUAGUUCAGUGGUGGGGCAUCUGCUUUGAAUGCAGAAGGUUGCAGGUUCACUCCCCAGCAUCUCCA